AUUUGAUGAAGAUGAUUUGAAGAUGAUAGAAAUAACUAGUUUGUUCAUGAAAGAAUGUAAAUCUGGUGAGCAUCAGCAUGUUGUUCAGCAUCAUGAAUGAGGAAUGAAGAAUAAACACCUCUUUGUUCUUCAGUAUCAUGAUGUUUCAUCUGCAGGUUCUGGAUCACUGGAUCUCUCUGUCCUCUCCUUCCAGAUGCUUUGUAGUAUUCCCGCCAAAAAGAAACGAAUGAAUGAAUGAUGGAUUCUACAGCACUUUACUAUGUUCUACUGUACACUUAGAGGUCUCUCCUCACCCAUCAUGAUGUUCCUCCUCCACUUCACUCAGAAACAGAGGAUUUCUUAAAACUGUGACACCCAGGAAGUGACAUCAUCUGGGCUCUUUCUACAGCAUGAUGGGAGGACAAGAAAAUGAUCUCAAUCCAUUUUUACACAAACUGUACAGUGUUGAUCACAUUCAUCAACGCUGUUACCAAAGUUACUGUAAGAAGAAUAAUCUCUAUAACUAUGAAUAACUUCUAUAAGAGAAAUACAACAGUAAAUCUGAAUGUAAAUGUGCAGAAGUGUUUGAAUCUCUCUAACAUGAAUGUUGUUCAGCAUCAUGAAUGAAUGAAGAAUAAACACCAACCUCUUUGUUCUUCAGUA
Ctenopharyngodon idella (grass carp) is the source of this 642-nucleotide long non-coding RNA. RefSeq lists it as uncharacterized. The transcript has 2 exons. The record is from RefSeq and is a predicted model, not a curated record. Lineage: Eukaryota; Metazoa; Chordata; Actinopteri; Cypriniformes; Xenocyprididae.